UCCCUUGAGAGGCAAGGGCUGCCUGCCAU
RNAcentral lists this small RNA (29 nucleotides) under Bombyx mori (domestic silkworm). RNAcentral describes it as "ovarian small RNA-27433". Lineage: Eukaryota; Metazoa; Arthropoda; Insecta; Lepidoptera; Bombycidae. The record is from RNAcentral.